UGGGGUGUGGCUCAGAGGUAGAGUGUGCGCCUAGCAUGUGUGAGGCACUGGGUUCGAUCCUCAGCACCACAU
Molecule: transfer RNA, 72 nt
Filed under: Marmota marmota marmota (Alpine marmot)
Lineage: Eukaryota; Metazoa; Chordata; Mammalia; Rodentia; Sciuridae
Also listed under: 1 other name
Rfam family: tRNA
About the family: Transfer RNA (tRNA) molecules are approximately 80 nucleotides in length. Their secondary structure includes four short double-helical elements and three loops (D, anti-codon, and T loops).
Source: Rfam by way of RNAcentral